AGAGUUUGAUCAUGGCUCAGGAUGAACGCUGGCGGUAUGCCUAACACAUGCAAGUCGUACGAGAGUUUUUAACUCUAGUGGCGGACGGGUGA
This 92-nucleotide ribosomal RNA is filed under the name uncultured bacterium. RNAcentral describes it as "partial 16S ribosomal RNA". It matches the Rfam family "Bacterial small subunit ribosomal RNA", at positions 8 to 109 of the family's 1533-position model. The record is from RNAcentral.